AUUGAACGCUGGCGGCAGGCCUAACACAUGCAAGUCGAACGAGUGGCGGACGGGUGAGUAAUGUCUGGGAAACUGCCUGAUGGAGGGGGAUAACUACUGGAAACGGUAGCUAAUACCGCAUACCAUCAGAUGUGCCCAGAUGGGAUUAGCUAGUUGGUGGGGGAACGGCUCACCAAGGCGACGAUCCCUAGCUGGUCUGAGAGGAUGACCAGCCACACUGGAACUGAGACACGGUCCAGACUCCUAGGGGAUGCAGCAGUGGGGAAGAUUGCACAAUGGGCGCAAGCCUGAUGCAGCCAUGCCGCGUGUAUGAAGAAGGCCAUCGGGUUGGAAAGGACUUUCAGCGGGGAGGGGUUACCCGCAGAAGAAGCACGGGCUAACUCCGUGCCAGCAGCCGCGGUAAUUC
Molecule: ribosomal RNA, 406 nt
Filed under: uncultured bacterium
Lineage: Bacteria
Description: partial 16S ribosomal RNA
Rfam family: Bacterial small subunit ribosomal RNA
Source: RNAcentral